AAAUGCUUAAGCCGGGUUAAAAGUUUAGCCCUAUUAUAUCUUAUAUAUAGGACUAUCUGGGUUCUCACAAUCUCCCCUCCUUUAAGCCCUGACGUUCUCGUCAGGCUCAGACUCACAAGUAUCAGGCGAUGUGAGACUCGUCUCGCUAGCCCGUUAUCCAGACCCUGGCUCAGCCGAGACUCAUCUCACACUUCCGGCUGGUAAUUGGCUCUGAUACCAUCUAUGACGCCCCAACUUCCCAGGGGAUCACCCAUCCUAGGACUACUCUCGUCCUAGCACGCUUAACUCUCUUAACCUCUUAGGCCUUGCCACUACUCAAAAUGCUUA
RNAcentral lists this long non-coding RNA (327 nucleotides) under Ananas comosus (pineapple). RNAcentral's name for it is "long non-coding RNA (ACOM_LNC007665)". Lineage: Eukaryota; Viridiplantae; Streptophyta; Magnoliopsida; Poales; Bromeliaceae. The record is from RNAcentral.